This 22-nucleotide small nuclear RNA is filed under the name Arabidopsis thaliana (thale cress). Its description in RNAcentral is "snRNA_16691". Lineage: Eukaryota; Viridiplantae; Streptophyta; Magnoliopsida; Brassicales; Brassicaceae. The record is from RNAcentral.
AAAGAGCGUCUUUAUUUUUUUC